ACCAUGUUUUAUCCUUGUUGUUGGUGUUUAUUGCGCAUGCGCACAAAGCACGGUGAUAGUUACGGUUACUGACUCAGGAACCUUGUAUAUUAUAUACCUCGGUAUACAGACGUUUAAUAAACUGGAUCCCUGUUGUGUUCACUUAUCGAUACACUACGAUGGAAUUACGGACCAGUUUAACAUAAACAUGGUAAAUAGAUAGACAGCUGAUAAUCAUAAUUGAUUAAGAAAUAACCUGGAAGAAGAAAUGAGUUAACUAUUGAUUAUAACAGAGACGAGAAUGCCAUCGUGUUUGUUCUGCUAAAAAAAGCAGGAACAUUGGAGUUUAUGGUUAGAUUUUAAAUAUUUCUUGUCUCCAAACUGGGUAAAUUUGAUAUAGUAACACCCCCCCCUUUUUUUUAAAAUAACUCGAGAACCACACAUCGCGCUCGCUUAACAAAGUAACAAUAAGAAAUAAUUAUUGUUAGUUUCAAGAAUAAUUAAUCGUCAAAACUUAUCCCCUCCCCGACAUCAAAGGAAGUUAAAUGUAUUAUCCCAAAAUUAGACCAAAUUAUUAUGAUAUAAGGACGUCUUGACAGGCUAUUAUUUUAUUUUGUUUUGUUGGGUUUUUUUUUGCUUUGACGUCUUCCUCCUGUAUGAAAAAAAACAUAAUAGACCCCCCCCC
Molecule: long non-coding RNA, 664 nt
Filed under: Mytilus galloprovincialis (Mediterranean mussel)
Lineage: Eukaryota; Metazoa; Mollusca; Bivalvia; Mytilida; Mytilidae
Source: RNAcentral